CUCUCUGUAGCUCAGUUGGUUAGAGCGGUGCACCGGAAACGCAGGGCCGCAGGUUUGAUUCCUGCCAGAGGGA
This is a non-coding RNA of Paramuricea clavata, 73 nucleotides long. Lineage: Eukaryota; Metazoa; Cnidaria; Anthozoa; Malacalcyonacea; Plexauridae. The record is from the annotation of a GenBank genome assembly.